GGUGGCUCAGUGGUAGAGUGCUUGCUUAGCAUGCAUGAGGCCCUGGGUUCCAUUCCUCAGCACCA
This 65-nucleotide transfer RNA is filed under the name Dipodomys ordii (Ord's kangaroo rat). It matches the Rfam family "tRNA". Rfam says of the family: Transfer RNA (tRNA) molecules are approximately 80 nucleotides in length. Their secondary structure includes four short double-helical elements and three loops (D, anti-codon, and T loops). Further hydrogen bonds mediate the characteristic L-shaped molecular structure. tRNAs have two regions of fundamental functional importance: the anti-codon, which is responsible for specific mRNA codon recognition, and the 3' end, to which the tRNAs corresponding amino acid is attached (by aminoacyl-tRNA synthetases). tRNAs cope with the degeneracy of the genetic code in two manners: having more than one tRNA (with a specific anti-codon) for a particular amino acid; and 'wobble' base-pairing, i.e. permitting non-standard base-pairing at the 3rd anti-codon position. Lineage: Eukaryota; Metazoa; Chordata; Mammalia; Rodentia; Heteromyidae. The record is from Rfam by way of RNAcentral.